CAGUAGCCGCGGUAAUACGUAGGUGGCAAGCGUUGUCCGGAAUUAUUGGGCGUAAAGGGCUCGCAGGCGGUUUCUUAAGUCUGAUGUGAAAGCCCCCGGCUCAACCGGGGAGGGUCAUUGGAAACUGGGAAACUUGAGUGCAGAAGAGGAGAGUGGAAUUCCACGUGUAGCGGUGAAAUGCGUAGAGAUGUGGAGGAACACCAGUGGCGAAGGCGACUCUCUGGUCUGCAACUGACGCUGAGGAGCGAAAGCGUGGGGAGCGAACAGGAUUAGAUACCCCCGUAGUCCCCUGUCUCUUAUA
RNAcentral lists this ribosomal RNA (301 nucleotides) under uncultured bacterium. Its description in RNAcentral is "partial 16S ribosomal RNA". It matches the Rfam family "Bacterial small subunit ribosomal RNA", at positions 509 to 808 of the family's 1533-position model. The record is from RNAcentral.